This 433-nucleotide ribosomal RNA is filed under the name uncultured bacterium. RNAcentral's name for it is "bacterial SSU rRNA". It matches the Rfam family "Bacterial small subunit ribosomal RNA", at positions 76 to 495 of the family's 1533-position model. The record is from RNAcentral.
CUCUUCGGGGAUGAUUAAACCGGCGCACGGGUGAGUAACACGUGAGUGACCUGCCUUUUAGACUGGAACAACUUACCGAAAGGUGAGCUAAUGCCGGAUGAGUUAUAUAAGUGCAUGUUUAUAUAGGAAAAGUUGGGGAGACCUGACGCUGAAAGAUGGACUCGCGUCCCAUUAGCUAGUUGGUAGGGUAAUGGCCUACCAAGGCGACGAUGGGUAGCCGGCCUGAGAGGGUGGCCGGCCACACUGGGACUGAGACACGGCCCAGACUCCUACGGGAGGCAGCAGUGGGGAAUCUUGCGCAAUGCUCGUAAGAGUGACGCAGCGACGCCGCGUGAAUGACGAAGGCCUUCGGGUCGUAAAGUUCUUUCGACAGGGAAGAAAAUGCCUAUAAGUAACUGUGUAUGUAUUGACGGUACCUGUAUAAGCAGCCCCG